AACUGGUGAUGAUAAUCUUAAGGCUUGUUUCUCAGAAACAUUCGCAGUGGCCGACUAAGAGCUUUCGCCUUCGCCAGGCUUGAGAGCUUGUGCUGUCUUUCUCCUUCCUUCCUUGGAUGUCUGAAGUUUCAAUAUUAUACAUAAAUUAUUUCUUUAUUUAUUUAUGGAGAUUUAGUGUGGGUUUCUCAAUGAUGAUUUCAAUAGAUGACGAGUCUGAUGUAAUAUCCAUUCCAUUCAAUCAUGAAGACGAAUCGAGGCAUUUGUCUGAGAGCCAACCCAUAUACUACCCCUUUGUUUUUCACUUUUAAAAAUUUUUGCCAAUUAAUUUUGAGGUUUUUUUUUUUUUAAAUUGGCCGAUGAUUAAAUUCAAAUUAAUGACAAGCAUAUGUCUGAAUAAAUAAUUGUUGUUAACCUUCUCAAUGAGGCCAUAUUCAUUUUAUUCUUUUAAAAUAUAUUUAUGGUUUUUGAUUUAGUUGUUGAUGUUCAGAUGAUGAUCAAUUGCAUAGUUCAAAUGAAUGUUUGUGAUUAGAAAAGUUUUAGUCUUUCGCUCCUAUCUGAUGAACUCAGAAAUAUUUUUUUUUUUAUUUUGAUAAUGAUUGUAUUAAAUUUAAUAAUGGGAUAAUGACGAUUUCAUGUGAUAAGGUCUCGUUCGUCGUAAUGGUGUGAUGAACUCACACCUUGCCGACCAUCCUAUUAUAUCACCACCCAUAAACUGAAUCC
Molecule: long non-coding RNA, 720 nt
Filed under: Helianthus annuus (common sunflower)
Lineage: Eukaryota; Viridiplantae; Streptophyta; Magnoliopsida; Asterales; Asteraceae
Rfam family: Small nucleolar RNA Z43 (bases 617-720)
Source: RNAcentral